This is a long non-coding RNA of Onychostruthus taczanowskii (white-rumped snowfinch), 232 nucleotides long. RefSeq lists it as uncharacterized. The record is from RefSeq and is a predicted model, not a curated record. Lineage: Eukaryota; Metazoa; Chordata; Aves; Passeriformes; Passeridae. The transcript is spliced from 3 exons.
GCUGACUCAGCCCCUGCAGGACAGGGAGCAUCAGAGGAGGGAACUGCACUUUCAGACUCUGCUUCCUCUGGUGCACAGCAAGGAGUUGUCAUUAGGUGUCCCGUUUGCAUGGAUUCUUACUCAGAGAUUGUGCAAAGCGGACGACUGAUUGUGGCAACCAUGUGUGGCCAUGUCUUCUGCAGCGAGUGCCUCCCUGUUGCCCUGGAGACUCUUGGCAUGUGCCCAAUUUGCA